AUGAGACUGGUGUCAGGAGUUCAGACUGUGAGGAUUACUAUCAUUAGUGCAUGGCAGGACAUGAAAUUGGAGGAAGAAAUGGCAACAUACUCCAAUAUUCUUGCCUUGGAAAUCCCAUGGACAGAGGAACCUGGCGAGCUACAGUCUGUGGGGUCACAAAAGAGUCCAUCACAACUUAGGAAUUAAAUAACUACAAGGACAUGGAAUAUAAUAGGAGUUUAACAGAUAACUGUUAAAUGAAUAAAGUAUAUGAAUUCUAAUAAAUAUAUUAAAUCAUCUGGUUUAUCUCACUAUAGUUUCUCACUUUCUUAUGUUUUCUUCACAUAUGUCUCAGCAAUAAAGUUACUUCAUUCAUCUAAUUAUUUUUUUCAUUGACUCAUUCAUCAUUUACUGAUCAUCAAGUGUGUCAGGCACUUUUCUAGGAAACUCAGUAAUGAAUAAGAUAGAAUCAAUUAUUGCCCUCAUGCAGCUUCUAAUCUAGAGGUGUUAAGCGUUUCUUUUGAAAACAUGCUUCUCAUGUUGUUUGGCAGAAAGUAGUUUCAGCCAGAAUGCUUCUUUCUUGGGUUUUUUCUUUGCUCUUUGAUCUAGAUCUGUUAAACUAAAUGUCAUUAUUUACAGCAUUCCACUCUUAACUAUUACUGCAUCCUAUGCCAUGGAAAACAGGACUCACACACUGAGACUUCUCAUCUCUAAGAACAAUGAAAAUAUUU
RNAcentral lists this long non-coding RNA (710 nucleotides) under Ovis aries (sheep). RNAcentral describes it as "lncRNA (ENSOARG00000025616.1)". The record is from RNAcentral. Lineage: Eukaryota; Metazoa; Chordata; Mammalia; Artiodactyla; Bovidae.